AGACCUUUAGUUUGAAACCCCGAAACCAGGUGAGCUACCCCGAGACAGCCUAUUUAAAUUUAGGGCUAACCCGUCUCUGUGGCAAAAGAGUGGGAAGAGCUCCGGGUAGAAGUGACAGACCUACCGAACCUGGUGAUAGCUGGUUGCCUGAGAAAUGGAUAGAAGUUCAGCCUCGUACACCCCGAAUCAAAAAAUAUAACAUUAAGACAAUAAGGGAAACAUACGAGAGUUAGUUAAAGGGGGUACAGCCCCUCUAACAAAGGAUACAACCUUUACAGGAGGAUAAAGAUCAUAAUAUAUAAAACAUACUGUUUUAGUGGGCCUAAAAGCAGCCAUCUAAAUAGAAAGCGUUAAAGCUCAGACAGAAAGAAGUUUAUUAUACUGAUAAAAAAUCUUAUUCCCCUAAUAGUAUCAGGCUAACCCAUGCCCACAUGGAAGAAAUUAUGCUAAAAUGAGUAACAAGAAGACCUGCUCUUCUCCAAGCACAAGUGUAAACCAGAUCGGACAAACCACUGGAAAUUAACGAACCCAACCCAAGAGAGUAAUGUGAACAACAGAAAAACCAAGAAAACCCCACAUAUUAAUAAUCGUUAACCCCACACUGGAGUGCUAUUCCCAAAGGAAAGACUAAAAGAAAGGGAAGGAACUCGGCAAACACAAGCCUCGCCUGUUUACCAAAAACAUCGCCUCCUGCAACUAAAUUGAGUAUAGGAGGUCCAGCCUGCCCAGUGACUACGGGUUCAACGGCCGCGGUAUUUUGACCGUGCAAAGGUAGCGCAAUCACUUGUCUUUUAAAUAGAGACCUGUAUGAAUGGCUAAACGAGGGCUUAACUGUCUCCCCCUUCAAGUCAGUGAAAUUGAUCUAUCCGUGCAGAAGCGGGUAUAACUAUACAAGACGAGAAGACCCUUUGGAGCUUAAGGUACAAAAUUCAACCACGUUAAGCAACUUAAUAAAAAGCAAAAACUUAGUGGAAAAUGAAAUUUUACCUUCGGUUGGGGCGACCGCGGAGGAAAAACAAGCCUCCGAGUGGAAUGGGCCAACCCCCUAAAACCAAGAGAAACAUCUCUAAGCCACAGAACAUCUGACCAAAAAUGAUCCGGCCAACAUAAGCCGAUCAACGAACCAAGUUACCCUAGGGAUAACAGCGCAAUCCUCUCCCAGAGUCCAUAUCGACGAGGGGGUUUACGACCUCGAUGUUGGAUCAGGACAUCCUAAUGGUGCAGCCG
This 1227-nucleotide ribosomal RNA is filed under the name Ischikauia steenackeri. Its description in RNAcentral is "partial 16S ribosomal RNA". It matches the Rfam family "Bacterial large subunit ribosomal RNA", at positions 696 to 2561 of the family's 2925-position model. Lineage: Eukaryota; Metazoa; Chordata; Actinopteri; Cypriniformes; Xenocyprididae. The record is from RNAcentral.